AUUGAACGCUGGCGGCAGGCUUAACACAUGCAAGUCGAGCGGAGAUGAGGUGCUUGCACCUUAUCUUAGCGGCGGACGGGUGAGUAAUGCUUAGGAAUCUGCCAUUUAGUGGGGGACAACAUUCCGAAAGGAAUGCUAAUACCGCAUACGUCCUACGGGAGAAAGCAGGGGAUCUUCGGACCUUGCGCUAAAUGAUGAGCCUAAGUCGGAUUAGCUAGUUGGUGGGUAAAGGCCUACCAAGGCGACGAUCUGUAGCGGGUCUGAGAGGAUGAUCCGCCACACUGGGACUGAGACACGGCCCAGACUCCUACGGGAAGCAGCAGUGGGGAAUAUUGGACAAUGGGCGGAAGCCUGAUCCAGCCAUGCCGCGUGUGUGAAGAAGGCCUUUUGGUUGUAAAGCACUUUAAGCGAGGAGGAGGCUACCUAGAUUAAUACUCUGGGAUAGUGGACGUUACUCGCAGAAUAAGCACCGGCUAACUCUGUG
This 484-nucleotide ribosomal RNA is filed under the name uncultured bacterium. RNAcentral describes it as "bacterial SSU rRNA". It matches the Rfam family "Bacterial small subunit ribosomal RNA", at positions 30 to 507 of the family's 1533-position model. The record is from RNAcentral.